UGGGGAAUUUUGGACAAUGGGCGCAAGCCUGAUCCAGCAAUGCCGCGUGCAGGAUGAAGGCCUUCGGGUUGUAAACUGCUUUUGUACGGCGCGAAAAGGUCUGCCCUAAUACAGAGACUUAAUGACGGUGCCUGAAGAAUAAGCACCGGCUAACUACGUGCCAGCAGCCGCGGUAAUACGUAGGGUGCAAGCGUUAAUCGGAAUUACUGGGCGUAAAGCGUGCGCAGGCGGUUAUGUAAGACAGAUGUGAAAUCCCCGGGCUCAACCUGGGAACUGCGUUUGUGACUGCAUAACUAGAGUACGGCAGAGGGGGAUGGAAUUCCGCGUGUAGCAGUGAAAUGCGUAGAUAUGCGGAGGAACACCGAUGGCGAAGGCAAUCCCCUGGGCCUGUACUGACGCUCAUGCACGAAAGCGUGGGGAGCAAACA
This 427-nucleotide ribosomal RNA is filed under the name uncultured bacterium. RNAcentral describes it as "bacterial SSU rRNA". It matches the Rfam family "Bacterial small subunit ribosomal RNA", at positions 355 to 774 of the family's 1533-position model. The record is from RNAcentral.